Long non-coding RNA from Syngnathoides biaculeatus (alligator pipefish), 228 nucleotides. RefSeq lists it as uncharacterized. The transcript has 3 exons. The record is from RefSeq and is a predicted model, not a curated record. NCBI's taxonomy places the organism in Eukaryota, Metazoa, Chordata, Actinopteri, Syngnathiformes, Syngnathidae.
GUAGCGACCAGAAAAGGACCUUGUUGUGCAAAAACAUUUGUCCCGGUUCACUGACAAAAAUUAGACAGUUGCAGAAAAGUCACGCUGGCUGGCAAGAUCUGAGCUGGACGUAAGCGAAUGCGGAGGGAUGGGCUGACUCUCUCGUCCAAAGAUGACUGCGAUGGCAACUUUCCAGCAGACCUCCGGCCGGUCCCACGAUCCAGGACUCCACUACCAUUUUGUUCAUGG